CAACAGCGUAUAUUAAAGUUGUUGCAGUUAAAAAGCUCGUAGUUGGAUUUCUGGUUGAAGCGACCGGUCGGGCGUUGAUUCGUCUGCACUGGAGUCGGUUUUGGCCAUCCUCUAGGAAAGUGCGUCUGGUAUUAAGUUAUCGGGCGUAUGAUCCUGGUCUUUUACUGUGAAAAAAUUAGAGUGUUUAAAGCAGGCCUUCGCCUUGAAUACAUUAGCAUGGAAUAAUAAGAUAGGACUUUGGUCUAUUUUGUUGGUUUGCAGACCGAAGUAAUGAUUAAUAGGGAUAGUUGGGGGUAUUUAUAUUCCGAUGUCAGAGGUGAAAUUCUUAGAUUUUCGGAAGAUAAACUUAUGCGAAAGCAUUUACCAAGGAUGUUUNCAUUA
RNAcentral lists this ribosomal RNA (381 nucleotides) under uncultured eukaryote. Its description in RNAcentral is "partial 18S ribosomal RNA". It matches the Rfam family "Eukaryotic small subunit ribosomal RNA", at positions 592 to 975 of the family's 1831-position model. The record is from RNAcentral.